Sinocyclocheilus grahami is the source of this 83-nucleotide long non-coding RNA. RefSeq lists it as uncharacterized. Lineage: Eukaryota; Metazoa; Chordata; Actinopteri; Cypriniformes; Cyprinidae. The record is from RefSeq and is a predicted model, not a curated record. The transcript has 3 exons.
GUUAAACGUUAGUUAUAGUCAACAGAAUAUGUUAAAGGGACCAUCAAAAUAAAGUGAAACCCAUAAAUAUUUGGUUACUCUUU